UCAACAUUGUCUUGAGGCAUGGAGUG
Molecule: non-coding RNA, 26 nt
Filed under: Mus musculus (house mouse)
Lineage: Eukaryota; Metazoa; Chordata; Mammalia; Rodentia; Muridae
Source: RNAcentral